UUUCAGUGUACAUGAAAGAUGAGGGGCGAAAAAAAGGCUAAGAAUGGCAAGGUUCCUCUCCAAAGCCUAAGAAAGGUUGGACAAUUUUCCCUCUUUUUUUUUUUUCCCCCUCACAAGAAGACAUUGAGGAAGGUUACUAACCGGCACUUCAAAUCUGGCUAGUUCUUAGUCAUAAAAAGAAUUAUUGUUGAAAUUUUGUAUAGCUGGGGAAACAAAAUUUUGCUUUUAAUGCAUGUCACUUUCUUGAAAUGAGUCUAAUUUUUUCUUCUUCCUUGUCUGUCUUCAUUCUAAACAAAAACUAUACCAA
This is a long non-coding RNA of Ornithorhynchus anatinus (platypus), 307 nucleotides long. RefSeq lists it as uncharacterized. NCBI's taxonomy places the organism in Eukaryota, Metazoa, Chordata, Mammalia, Monotremata, Ornithorhynchidae. The record is from RefSeq and is a predicted model, not a curated record. The transcript has 2 exons.